This 301-nucleotide ribosomal RNA is filed under the name uncultured bacterium. RNAcentral's name for it is "partial 16S ribosomal RNA". It matches the Rfam family "Bacterial small subunit ribosomal RNA", at positions 509 to 807 of the family's 1533-position model. The record is from RNAcentral.
CAGUAGCCGCGGUAAUGCGUAGGGGGCAAGCGUUAUCCGGAAUUACUGGGUGUAAAGGGAGCGUAGACGGUUAAACAAGUCUGAAGUGAAAUGCCGGGGCUCAACCCCGGGGCUGCUUUGGGAACUGUAGAACUGGAGUGUCGGAGGGGUAAGCGGAAUUCCCAGUGUAGCGGUGAAAUGCGUAGAUAUUGGGAGGAACACCAGCGGCGAAGGCGGCUUACUGGACGACAACUGACGUUGAGGCUCGAAGGCGUGGGUAGCAAACAGGAUUAGAUACCCCUGUAGUCCCUGUCUCUUAUAC